This is a long non-coding RNA of Episyrphus balteatus (marmalade hoverfly), 476 nucleotides long. RefSeq lists it as uncharacterized. Lineage: Eukaryota; Metazoa; Arthropoda; Insecta; Diptera; Syrphidae. The record is from RefSeq and is a predicted model, not a curated record. The transcript has 3 exons.
CAUCUCUCAUGGACAUGCACUUGCUCCUGCAAAGCUGGCUGUGGCAGUAAGUGCAAACACAUAGCUGCUUGCCUAAUUUAUAUCCACAAAUAUCCACACUUAGAUAUAAUAAGUUCUACGGAGAUAACCCAAAAGUGGGGUAAGUUAGGCAAGCAGUUUGCCACUCAGUUUUGCUCCGUAGAUGCAAGUGAUCUCUGCCACUGCCGAAGACAGAUAAAAGUUUUCGAGGAUGUUGUGAAUGAAGAUAUUCAAAAAGAAAUUUUUCAAGGUUUACUUGCUGGUAAUUUACGAUGCGUUUUUAUCAUGAUGAAGGAUCCUCCAUUGAAAUUAUCUGUGUUUUUUUUUUUAGUUCUAUAAAAAUGUUUCUUUAAUUCGACAGUUUUUGUUUUGUUAUUGCUUGUAAAGUGUAAAGUAUAUUUUUAAUUGUGCUUUUUUGUUUUUUUAUUUACUAACAAUUUUUCGCUACUAAGUCGACA